CACAACCGGGGAACCAACUACCUCUGAUACCCACCCAAAUAAACAACGCCAGCCUUUAUCCCUAUCGAAAAACCACAGCCCAGAAAUUCCAUUCCCACGGUGAACCACCGUAAAACCUCCUCCACCCGAACAACCUUAUCUGCCAAAAAAGAAGAAGAAAAAAUCAGUAUCCAUCCAAAUCAGUUCCCUCUCCUCCAAACCCCCGACCAGACAACACCAGCCUUCCCUCACAAACCACCAAACCACUCUCUGCCCAAAACACCAGCCUUCAUCUUCUUCAAACAGCACCAUCCUCUGACCGACAACCUUCCACCGUGACUAUCACCUCUCCCCGCAGAUUCAACCCAAAGCCAGAGUCUCCACUCCCACUCUACACGCUGAC
Molecule: long non-coding RNA, 382 nt
Filed under: Populus trichocarpa (black cottonwood)
Lineage: Eukaryota; Viridiplantae; Streptophyta; Magnoliopsida; Malpighiales; Salicaceae
Description: long non-coding RNA (PTRI_LNC001989)
Source: RNAcentral